UACAGAGGGUGCGAGCGUUAAUCGGAAUUACUGGGCGUAAAGCGUGCGUAGACGGCUAUCUAAGUCGGGUGUGAAAGCCCCGGGCUCAACCUGGGAAUUGCAUUCGAGACUGAAUAGCUAGGGUACGGUAGAGGGAAGCGGAAUUUCCGGUGGAGCGGUGAAAUGCGUAGAGAUCGGAAAGAACACCAACGGCGAAAGCACUCUGCUGGGCCGACACUGACACUGAGAGACGAAAGCUAGGGGAGCGAAUGGG
RNAcentral lists this ribosomal RNA (253 nucleotides) under uncultured bacterium. Its description in RNAcentral is "partial 16S ribosomal RNA". It matches the Rfam family "Bacterial small subunit ribosomal RNA", at positions 524 to 776 of the family's 1533-position model. The record is from RNAcentral.